UUUAAGCGUAACCAUAAGUUUCCAUAUCCAACUAUUAUUUGAAAUUUUCUAUGAUUGGUAUUAUUAUUAUUAUUAUUAGAUGAUAAAAUAUGAAUAGUGCUUUAUGCGUGACUUAUAUUUUUUAUUUUUUUAAAAAAAUUUAAAUAAAAUAAAUGGUUAAAGUUAGAUACGGAACCUAUGACUGAGGUAGUA
RNAcentral lists this microRNA precursor (192 nucleotides) under Oryza punctata. RNAcentral's name for it is "MIR812 microRNA precursor family". It matches the Rfam family "MIR812 microRNA precursor family". The record is from Rfam by way of RNAcentral. Lineage: Eukaryota; Viridiplantae; Streptophyta; Magnoliopsida; Poales; Poaceae.